CAUAUUUCCUUUCAUGCCCCCAGUGUAAGGCUGCGGGAGGGCAUAGUGACCCCUUUCCCUCCCACCUCUGGGUCGCUUCUCCCAUCCUGGCCCAAUUUCUCUUGAUUUCCACUCUUCCCCCCACUUCUUUAACCAAGUUUUGGAAAAGUUUCAGUUUUUCCAACCCAGGAUCGCCUUCUUGAAGCGUUAGCAAAGAAAGCCGGCCUUGGUGGCUCUCCUCUCCCUUUGUGGCUUCUUUAAAAUGAAACCUGAAGGGUCCCUCUCUCCUCCUUUGGGAGGGUGGAAUCGUGUUUUGCGAUUUGGUGGCGAAAUAAUGAAGGGUGUCGCCCCCCCUUCCUUCCCUUCUUUCUCUCUCUCUCUGUUUCUCUCUCAAUCUCUCUCCCCCCGCCGCCCAUCAGUUUUCCCUGCCAAGCCGUCUCUAUUGUAGAUCGCAUUGAUAAAAAGGAUGUUAUUGACUAUGCAAUAGUGGGCUCUCUCUCUCUCUCUCGCCUGUCCCCCCCUCUCCUCCUCCUCCUCCUCCUUUCUCUCUCUCUCUUUCUUCCCCAAUAAACUCCCGGUCCUGUCUUGUGGUGGUCACUGAAAAGGUGAAACGAAUAAGAUUAAAUCAGACUCGCUCCCACACUCACGCUCAGGCACACACACACACACACCAAGCUCUGUAUGUAUAUCCUCUCCGGACUGUGGAGAGACAGGGAGGGAGGAAGAAGAAGAAGAAGAAAAAGAGGCAGAGCAAGAGAGAGAGAGAGAUUGAGACAGGGAGGGAGAGCCUGGGAAAAGAAGGUACAGAGCCAGGCACCAGCUUCUUGUCAAGGCUUCUUCGGCGUCGGGAUGAUGCCUCCAGACGGCGCACCAGGCGACUGACUCUCGGCCCAUCCAUCCAAGGCAUGCAAGUCUAUGCUUCAAAUCUUGUCCCACUAGCCAAAAAAUGCCCACUGAAAAUGAGAAGAAUAUUCAUAAAUGUGUUACGGAAUCUACUCUCGAAGGAGGUGAGAUUAACCUAUCCCUGA
RNAcentral lists this long non-coding RNA (1007 nucleotides) under Anolis carolinensis (green anole). RNAcentral describes it as "lncRNA (ENSACAG00000031293.2)". The record is from RNAcentral. Lineage: Eukaryota; Metazoa; Chordata; Lepidosauria; Squamata; Anolidae.